GCCAUAUACACAGGCCUUACCCAAAGCCAUAUACACAGGCCUUACCCAAAGCCAUAUACACAGGCCUUACCCAAAGCCAUACACAGGCCUUACCCAAAGCCAUACACAGGCCUUACCCAAAGCCAUACACAGGCCUUACCCAAAGCCAUACACAGGCCUUACCCAAAGCCAUACACAGGCCUUACCCAAAGCCAUACACAGGCCUUACCCAAAGCCAUAUACACAGGCCUUACCCAAUGCCAUACACAGGCCUUACCCAAAGCCAUAUACACAGGCCUUACCCAAAGCCAUAUACAGGCCUUAUCCAAAGCCAUAUACACAGGCCUUACCCAAAGCCAUAUACACAGGCCUUACCCAAAGCCAUAUACAGGCCUUAUCCAAAGCCAUAUACACAGGCCUUACCCAAAGCCAUAUACAGGCCUUACCCAAAGCCAUAUACACAGGCCUUACCCAAAGCCAUAUACACAGGCCUUACCCAAAGCCAUAUACACAGGCCUUAUCCAAAGCCAUAUACACAGGCCUUACCCAAAGCCAUAUACACAGGCCUUACCCAAAGCCAUAUACAGGCCUUACCCAAAGCCAUAUACAGGCCUUACCCAAAGCCAUAUACAGGCCUUACCCAAAGCCAUAUACAGGCCUUACCCAAAGCCAUAUACAGGCCUUACCCAAAGCCGUAUAUAAGACUUACUCAAAGCCAUAUACACAGGCCUUACCCAAAGCCAUAUACAGGCCUUACCCAAAGCCAUAUACACAGGCCUUACCCAAAGCCGUAUAUAAGACUUACUCAAAGCCAUAUACACAGGCCUUACCCAAAGCCAUAUACAGGCCUUACCCAAAGCCGUAUAUAAGACUUACUCAAAGCCAUAUACACAGGCCUUACCCAAAGCCAUAUACAGGCCUUACCCAAAGCCAUAUACAGGCCUUACCCAAAGCCGUAUAUAAGACUUACUCAAAGCCAUAUACACAGGCCUUACCCAAAGCUGUAUAUAAGACUUACUCAAAGCCAUAUACACAGGCCUUAUCCAAAGCCAUAUACACAGGCCUUACCCAAAGCCGUAUAAAAUACUUACUCAAAGCCAUAUACACAGGCCUUAUCCAAAGCCAUAUACACAGGCCUUACCCAAAGCCGUAUAAAAUACUUACUCAAAGCCAUAUACACAGUCCUUAUCCAAAGCCAUAUACACAGGCCUUACCCAAAGCCAUAUACAGGCCUUACCCAAAGCCAUAUACAGGCCUUACCCAAAGCCAUAUACAGGCCUUACCCAAAGCCGUAUAUAAGACUUACUCAAAGCCGUAUACACAGGCCUUAUCCAAAGCCAUAUACACAGGCCUUACUCAAAGCCAUAUACACAGGCCUUACUCAAAGCCGUAUACACAGGCCAUACCCAAAGCCAUAUACACAGGCCUUACUCAAAGCCGUAUACACAGGCCAUACCCAAAGCCAUAUACACAGGCCUUACUCAAAGCCGUAUACACAGGCCAUACCCAAAUCCAUAUACAGGCCUUACCCAAAGCCAUAUACACAGGCCUUACUCAAAGCCCCAUAUAUAAGACUUACUCAAAGCCAUAUACACAGGCCUUACCCAAAGCCAUAUACAGGCCUUACCCAAAGCCAUAUACACAGGCCUUACCCAAAGCCGUAUAUAAGACUUACUCAAAGCCAUAUACACAGGCCUUAUCCAAAGCCAUAUACAGGCCUUACCCAAAGCCAUAUACACAGGCCUUACCCAAAGCCAUAUACACAGGCCUUACCCAAAGCCAUAUACACAGGCCUUACCCAAAGCCAUACACAGGCAUUACCCAAAGCCAUACACAGGCCUUACCCAAAGCCAUACACAGGCCUUACCCAAAGCCAUACACAGGCCUUACCCAAAGCCAUACACAGGCCUUACCCAAAGCCAUACACAGGCCUUACCCAAAGCCAUACACAGGCCUUACCCAAAGCCAUACACAGGCCUUACCCAAAGCCAUAUACACAGGCCUUACCCAAAGCCAUACACAUGCCUUACCCAAAGCCAUACACAGGCCUUACCCAAAGCCAUAUACACAGGCCUUACCCAAAGCCAUACACAGGCCUUACCCAAAGCCAUAUACACAGGCCUUACCCAAAGCCAUACACAUGCCUUACCCAAAGCCAUACACAGGCCUUACCCAAAGCCAUAUACACAGGCCUUACCCAAAGCCAUAUACACAGGCCUUACCCAAAGCCGUAUAUAAGACUUACUCAAAGCCAUAUACACAGGCCUUACCCAAAGCCGUAUAUAAGACUUACUCAAAGCCAUAUACACAGGCCUUACUCAAAGCCGUAUAUAAGACUUACUCAAAGCCAUAUACACAGGCCUUAUCCAAAGCCAUAUACAGGCCUUACCCAAAGCCAUAUACAGGCAUUACCCAAAGCCAUAUACAGGCCUUACCCAAAGCCAUAUACAGGCAUUACCCAAAGCCACACACAGACCUUACCCAAAGCCAUAUACACAGGCCUUACCCAAAGCCAUAUACACAGGCCUUACCCAAAGCCAUACACAUGCCUUACCCAAAGCCAUACACAGGCCUUACCCAAAGCCAUACACAGGCCUUACCCAAAGCCAUACACAGGCCUUACCCAAAGCCAUACACAGGCCUUACCCAAAGCCACAGGCCUUACCCAAAGCCAUAUACAGGCCUUACCCAAAGCCAUAUACAGGCCUUACCCAAAGCCAUAUACAGGCCUUACCCAAAGCCAUAUACACAGGCCUUACCCAAAGCCAUAUACAGGCCUUACCCAAAGCCAUAUACAGGCCUUACCCAAAGCCAUAUACACAGGCCUUACCGAUCUUGGUUUUUAGUCGGUUUAUUUCUCUAUUUUACAAGAAAAUACAGGGAUUUACUGUACUUUUUUCUGCUACCUUUUUCUCUUCAUGGGCUCUGCUCCAUCGUCUCUAUGACGUAAUCUAACAGUGUGGAUGAGAUACUGUCUGACAGAAGUACUUUUCCUCAUACAAAGGAUGCUGCUGAAACAAGUAACUUGUCAUUUAAAAAAAGCAACGUCAGUAAAUGUCUUGAGUUCAGUACCUGUUUUAUUCAAACCGUUAUAACAUGGCCAUAGAGCUUAAUAACAUGGUCAUUAUGUACUCUUAUAACAUGGUCGUAACAUGGUCAUAAUAUGGGUUGUACAAUCCAAGCCAGCUGUAAAAACAUCAUGCAAAUGUCUACUAGUUGUUGGCUUCAUUUCUCAAAUAUGUGUGAGUAAAUGGAUUCAAGUUGUUCCUGAAUGAAUAAUUCUGACAAAUUAGUGUUGGUCGCUUAAUCUGACAUACUUGAUCCCACAUCGUUACAAGGCUGUAAUACGAACUCUAGUCACCAGAAAUGUAGAUUUUAGAUUCAAGCAAAUAUUAAUAAGCAUUUAUAAGUUACUUUGAAGCAAUUAUCUAAUGAAUGUUUCAUAAACAAUGCUAAUAAUACAACUAAAUGCACAGGAAGUAGAGUAUUUACAGAGGAAAAAGGCACAGUGAUGACCGAUUGAUCCUGGUCACAGAGAUCAGCUGGUCUGCAGCUUGGCAACAGGCAAGUGGUGUGUAUAUAUUGUCAUCCUCUCUUGCUUUCAAAUUAGGACAUUCAUGCAGAUUCUUCAUCCACAACAAUGGGAAGACCGGCUUCAUUUUCUUGACUAGGGGCUAAAAUGCAAGCGAGGAAAAUCAUAUUAGAAUGGGUGGACAUUCAAGAAAUAUGAAGCAACAAGUUCACUUUGUAUUUCAUGUAAAUAACCCUUCUCACCUCGUUGCAGUUGUAUCGGCCUCUGCUGUGACCUCAGCUGCUUUUCAGGAGCAAGAACAAACACAAAACAGUCAUCAACCUACAUUCACUAAUCGUUAUGUAUUAAGUGUUAAGAGGCCUGGAAGGGUAAUCCUGAAAUAAAUCCUGAACUACAAAAGCUGCAAUGUCCCUUUUCUGCUGUUUGAAGUCAGUGUAGGGCACCUUAUUUGUAGUGCACUACUUCUGACCAGGGCUCCCUAGGUUUGGUUUGGCACUACUUCUGACCAGGGCUCCCUAGGUUUGGUUUGGCAGGCCGUGAAUCAUUCUGCACCUCAGAGAGGCUGCCCUGCUUUCUGUGUCUCUGUUUCUCUGUGUGCCGCUCUCUGUGUACA
Molecule: long non-coding RNA, 4124 nt
Organism: Oncorhynchus tshawytscha (Chinook salmon)
Lineage: Eukaryota; Metazoa; Chordata; Actinopteri; Salmoniformes; Salmonidae
Source: Ensembl